AAAGCUAACAGGUCCCAGGUUACGAUGCUAACAGUGAAGCUAAAGCUAACAGGUCCCAGGUUACGAUGCUAACACUGAAGCUAAAGCUAUCAGGUCCCAGGUUACGAUGCUAACACUGAAGCUAAAGCUAACAGGUCCCAGGUUACGAUGCUAACAGUGAAGCUAAAGCUAACAGGUCCCAGGUUACGAUGCUAACAGUGAAGCUAAAGCUAACAGGUCCCAGGUUACGAUGCUAACAGUGAAGCUAAAGCUAACAGGUCCCAGGUUACGAUGCUAACAGUGAAGCUAAAGCUAACAGGUCCCAGGUUACGAUGCUAACAGUGAAGCUAAAGCUAUCAGGUCCCAGGUUACGAUGCUAACAGUGAAGCUAAAGCUAACCAUGCUAAUAGACUGAAGCUAAAGUUAUCAGGUCCCAGGUUACGAUGCUAACAGUGAAGCUAAAGCUAUCAGGUCCCAGGUUACGAUGCUAACAGUGAAGCUAAAGCUAUCAGGUCCCAGGUUACGAUGCUAACAGUGAGGCUAAAGCUAACUGAUUCCUGCUGACGUUCUCCGUCACUGAACCCGGAUUCGGCAC
This is a long non-coding RNA of Dicentrarchus labrax (European seabass), 574 nucleotides long. RefSeq lists it as uncharacterized. The transcript has 3 exons. The record is from RefSeq and is a predicted model, not a curated record. Lineage: Eukaryota; Metazoa; Chordata; Actinopteri; Moronidae.